AGCGAACGCUGGCGGCAGGCUUAACACAUGCAAGUCGAGCGGGCCCUUCGGGGUCAGCGGCGGACGGGUGAGUAACGCGUGGGAACGUGCCUUCUGGUCUGGAAUAACCCUGGGAAACUAGGGCUAAUACCGGAUACGCCCUUUUGGGGAAAGGUUUACUGCCGGAAGAUCGGCCCGCGUCUGAUUAGCUAGUUGGUGGGGUAACGGCCUACCAAGGCGACGAUCAGUAGCUGGUCUGAGAGGAUGAUCAGCCACACUGGGACUGAGACACGGCCCAGACUCCUACGGGAGGCAGCAGUGGGGAAUAUUGGACAAUGGGCGCAAGCCUGAUCCAGCCAUGCCGCGUGAGUGAUGAAGGCCUUAGGGUUGUAAAGCCCUUUUAUCCGGGACGAUAAUGACGGUACCGGAGGAAUAAGCCCCGGCUAACUUCGUG
This 433-nucleotide ribosomal RNA is filed under the name uncultured bacterium. Its description in RNAcentral is "partial 16S ribosomal RNA". It matches the Rfam family "Bacterial small subunit ribosomal RNA", at positions 29 to 507 of the family's 1533-position model. The record is from RNAcentral.